This 712-nucleotide non-coding RNA is filed under the name Caulobothrium sp. LRP 10376. Lineage: Eukaryota; Metazoa; Platyhelminthes; Cestoda; Tetraphyllidea. The record is from RNAcentral.
GUUUGUUUAACUAUGGCAAUAGAAAGUAUCCGUCAGUUUAAUUGCAUAAAGUUAUUUUAUUUUUCUAUUAAUAAGAAUUUUGUUUAGUAAAUUAGCAGUUAGUUUUUUAUUAGAAUGUAAGUUUUAUAAGAGAGUGUCGGUAUAAAGGGGAUAGGACGCAGUGCCAGCAUCCGCGGUUAAUCUGUUUUCUUUGCUUUUAUGUGACUAAUGGUUAAGCGGUUAAACACAAGGUUGGGUGAAAUUUUCUUGCUUAUGUAUUCAACGCUUAAUAUAGUAUUAGUAGUGGUUAAUGACAGGGAUUAGAUACCCCAUUAGUAUGCUAUGUAUAGUAGUCUAGUUUCAUAACUAAAAUAGUUUGGCAGCGAGUUACUCCUAUCGGGGGAAGGUGUGUUAUAAAGGACGAUCCGCCUAUUAAUUUACUUUGGUUUUGUUGGUGUAUAUCUGGUUGAAUAUUAUUGCUUUGUAGCUGAAUUUGUAUAAUUAAAUUUAAGCCAAGUCUAUGUGCUGCAUACUAAAGUUUUCAUGCGUUACAUUUAUAUUAGUUACUCUGUGAGUUAGUGGCUGUAAUUAGGACUCGAAAGUAAUAUAAAAUUAUUUUGUUUAUUUGAAGAAGGUUUAACUCGGGUACACACCGCCCGUCACCCUCGAUUUUUGUUGAGGUAAGUCGUAACAUGGUAACCACAAAUGAAUUUGUGGUUAAUUACAGAUUAUU